This 506-nucleotide ribosomal RNA is filed under the name uncultured eukaryote. RNAcentral describes it as "eukaryotic LSU rRNA". It matches the Rfam family "Eukaryotic large subunit ribosomal RNA", at positions 1059 to 1564 of the family's 3401-position model. The record is from RNAcentral.
CGAACUCCGAACGGGCAAGGAGCCGGGGUCGCCCGAUCGGACCCCGGACGUGAAGUCGACGAUGGUCGGUGGGCUGGUUUUGGUAAGCAGAACGGGCGAUUCGGGAUGAACCGGAAGCGGGGAGAAAGGGCCCGAGAUUGCGUCGACGCGGAUCCCGAAAAGGGCGUCGAUCCGUCGCGACAGCGGGACGGUGGUCAUGGAAGUCGAAAUCCGCUAAGAAGCGUGUAAAAACGUACCCGCCCAACGGAUCGGCCCCGAAAAUUGAUGGCGCUCGAACGCAACCCUCGAACCCCGCCGACGGAGGCUAGGGGAGGCCCCGUCGAGUAGGCGGACGCGCGGGUCGCUUCGACGCUCCCGCGCGAGCGGGGGCGGAGCGGCCCGUGGUGCAGAUCUUGGUGGUAGUAGCGAUCACCCAGGCGAGAACCCUGAGGGCCGAAGUGGAGAAGGGUUUCUCGAGAACGGCACUCGCUCGAGAGUUAGUCGAUCCUAAGCUGCCGGCGGCAGCC